AAAAUAAAAAUUGGGUGCACACCCUUUAGCAUCUUCUGUGUACCCCCUAUUUUAGUUUAUUUAUUUAUUUUAGUUAAUUUAUUUAAUUAAUCUAUUUCAUUUUAUCAUACCAAUCCUAGGCAUAAAUCAUAUUAUAAGAUACAAAAAAAAAUUAAUAAAAAAUAUAAAAUAACAAAAGACAAAAACAAAAAAAAUUCAUUAUUAAAAUCAAUACUCCACUCAUCCAAAU
RNAcentral lists this long non-coding RNA (229 nucleotides) under Lathyrus oleraceus (garden pea). RNAcentral describes it as "Pisum sativum (pea) long non-coding RNA (PSAT_LNC026867)". Lineage: Eukaryota; Viridiplantae; Streptophyta; Magnoliopsida; Fabales; Fabaceae. The record is from RNAcentral.